CCUACGGGGGGCAGCAGUAGGGAAUAUUGCUCAAUGGGGGAAACCCUGAAGCAGCAACGCCGCGUGGAGGAUGAAGGUUUUCGGAUUGUAAACUCCUUUUGUUAGAGAAGAUAAUGACGGUAUCUAACGAAUAAGCACCGGCUAACUCCGUGCCAGCAGCCGCGGUAAUACGGAGGGUGCAAGCGUUACUCGGAAGCACUGGGCGUAAAGAGCGCGUAGGCGGGAUAGCAAGUCAGAUGUGAAAUCCUAGGGCUUAACCAUAGAACUGCAUUUGAAACUGUUAUUCUAGAGUAUGGGAGAGGUAGGUGGAAUUCUUGGUGUAGGGGUAAAAUCCGUAGAGAUCAAGAGGAAUACUCAUUGCGAAGGCGACCUGCUAGAACAUAACUGACGCUGAUGCGCGAAAGCGUGGGGAGCAAACAGGAUUAGAUACCCCAGUAGUC
RNAcentral lists this ribosomal RNA (440 nucleotides) under uncultured bacterium. RNAcentral describes it as "partial 16S ribosomal RNA". It matches the Rfam family "Bacterial small subunit ribosomal RNA", at positions 338 to 795 of the family's 1533-position model. The record is from RNAcentral.